Molecule: long non-coding RNA, 1449 nt
Filed under: Pan troglodytes (chimpanzee)
Lineage: Eukaryota; Metazoa; Chordata; Mammalia; Primates; Hominidae
Description: lncRNA (ENSPTRG00000054274.1)
Source: RNAcentral
CGCACUAGGAGGAGUGGAAUGUAGUGAUGUCACCGUCUGCCUACCAACUGUCAUUACUGGAAGACUGGCCCUGGUCUUAUGACCCAGUCCCCUAAACGUUGUCACCCCGUUUCUGGUUCUGGUCACAGCAGAAAUUUCCAACUGGAAGGGGAAUGGAGACUAUGGGACCUAGGAGCAAGAGGUUUCAGGCUGCCUCACUCCCUUACCAUAGACAUUGACAGUGGGAAAAGCCUACACUUCCCCCUUCAAAGAAUAUUGGCAGAGAAACCGCCCUGGUGUUCCAGCAGCAGCGAAGAGGAACAGGAAAGCAAAUGGCAGUAGCCCUGAGGCAGCCGCUUCUGGUGGUUGCCACUCAUCUGAGGCUGUGAGUCUUGCCUGGACAGGCUUCUGGGGACAGGGGGCCCAAGGGGCAGUAGAGGGCAAUCGUUAAGAUUGUGGAUGGACUGUUGGGUACUGGUGAAGGAUUCUGGAUUUGGCCGGGCACGGUGGCUCACGCCUGUAAUCCCAACACUUCGGGAGACCGAGGCAGGUGGAUCACAAGGUCAGGAGAUCGAGACCAUGCAGGCAAACACGGUGAAAUACUAAAAAAUACCAAAAAAAAAGCCGGGCGUGGUGGCGGGCGCCUGUAGUCCCAGCUACUCCGGAGUCUGAGGGAGGAGAAUGGCGUGAACCUAGGAGGCGGAGCUUGCAGUGAGCCAAGAUCACGCCACUGCACUCCAGCCUGGAAGGCAGAGAGAGACUCCGUUUCAAAAAAGAAAAGAAUUCUGGGUUUGAAUCCUGCCUCUCUGUCUGCUAGGGAUAUGAUUUAGGGCAAGUUGCUUGAGCUCUUUGGGCCUCUGUUUUCACAUCUGUAUGAUAGAGGUGGUAUUGUUUGACUUGUAUUUGUGAAGUUUAAAUGAGAUUUAUAAUUGUCAAUUUUAUGUUAAUCCCUAGUACAUGGCCUGCUGUCAACACCCAGGACACCCAGGAUAUGGUCUUUGCUGUUUGAUUUUCCUCAUCCCCAGUCUCAAGGGGAAGCCAGGACAAUGAGAACAGCCACUUCCCAUCAGGAGUCACUGCAAGGGCCCCAGGGUGGGAUGGUGGGGAGAUAAGAACCAUGAGAGAAGUUGGCACAAAUGAGUUAUGGGACAAAGGGUCCAAGAUAGGCAGAAAAGAAAAUGUUGCCAGUUGAUGGGGAAGAAAGGAAGUCGGAGGGCUCAGACACUGAGGGGGACAGAACGUCUCCAUGUGCACUCUCAUCUCUUAUAGUCAGCAACAGGUAUCCAUGGGGAGGGCCCUACAUCAUCUGCUACCCUGAAGGAUCUGGAGGUAGGAGGCUCUGGGCGGAGGUGCAGUGACCCCGCAGGCCAGCCCUCCAACCUCCUCCCGCAGCGGAGACUGGGUGCCCCUCUGCCAGCUGAGACAGCCCACACACAACCCAGCCCUAAUGAUCGUUCUCUCUACCUCUCC